GGAGGGUGCAAGCGUUAAUCGGAAUCACUGGGCGUAAAGCGCACGUAGGCGGCUUGGUAAGUCAGGGGUGAAAUCCCACAGCCCAACUGUGGAACUGCCUUUGAUACUGCCAGGCUUGAGUACCGGAGAGGGUGGCGGAAUUCCAGGUGUAGGAGUGAAAUCCGUAGAUAUCUGGAGGAACACCGGUGGCGAAGGCGGCCACCUGGACGAAGACUGACGCUCAGGUGCGAAAGCGUGGGGAGCAAACAGGAUUAGAUACCCUGGUAGUCCACGCCGUAAACGAUGUCGACUUGGAGGUUGAGCCCUUGAGGCGUGGCUUCCGGAGCUAACGCGUUAAGUCGACCGCCUGGGGAGU
This 355-nucleotide ribosomal RNA is filed under the name uncultured bacterium. RNAcentral describes it as "bacterial SSU rRNA". It matches the Rfam family "Bacterial small subunit ribosomal RNA", at positions 527 to 881 of the family's 1533-position model. The record is from RNAcentral.